UACGUAGGUGACCAGCGUUGUCCGGAUUUACUGGGCGUAAAGAGCGCGCAGGCGGUCGUUCAAGUCGAGUGUGAAAGCCCCCGGCUUAACUGGGGAGGGUCAUUCGAUACUGCUCGGCUCGAAGACAGGAGAGGGAAGUGGAAUUCCCGGUGUAGUGGUGAAAUGCGUAGAUAUCGGGAGGAACACCAGUGGCGAAGGCGACUUUCUGGCCUGUUCUUGACGCUGAGGCGCGAAAGCUAGGGGAGCAAACGGG
Molecule: ribosomal RNA, 253 nt
Filed under: uncultured bacterium
Lineage: Bacteria
Description: partial 16S ribosomal RNA
Rfam family: Bacterial small subunit ribosomal RNA
Source: RNAcentral